This 402-nucleotide ribosomal RNA is filed under the name uncultured bacterium. Its description in RNAcentral is "bacterial SSU rRNA". It matches the Rfam family "Bacterial small subunit ribosomal RNA", at positions 355 to 774 of the family's 1533-position model. The record is from RNAcentral.
UGGGGAAUAUUGGACAAUGGGCGCAAGCCUGAUCCAGCCAUGCCGCGUGAGUGAUGAAGGCCUUAGGGUUGUAAAGCUCUUUCACCGGGGAAGAUGAUGACGGUACCCGGAGAAGAAGCCCCGGCUAACUCCGUGCCAGCAGCCGCGGUAAUACGGAGGGGGCGAGCGUUGUUCGGAAUUACUGGGCGUAAAGGGCGCGUAGGCGGCCGGUCGCGUCGGAUGUGAAAGCCCCGGGCUCAACCUGGGAGGUGCAUCCGAUACGGGCCGGCUCGAGAACGGGAGAGGAGUGUGGAAUUCCCAGUGUAGAGGUGAAAUUCGUAGAUAUUGGGAAGAACACCAGUGGCGAAGGCGGCACUCUGGCCCGUUUCUGACGCUGAGGCGCGAAAGCGUGGGGAGCAAACA